UCAGCAUCUAUGUCUGUUUUCAACAGUGUGCUGUCAGCAAUAUGAAAGGGCUUUUUCUUUGUCUCGUCAUUGCUUGCGUGUUGGGCAUUGCCCUAACACUAGAGCCGGUGGUCACAACCAGAUCCGCUUGUGACCCAGACUCCAUCUGCCAGCUUCAUACCAACGCCGUUUGCAGCCUGGAAUGCUGGGAUGAUGGCAAUGGCGGCUCUGAAUGUCUUGAGAGAUGGUAUGAAGAUGAACAAAGGGUCUUCUGCGCAUUGAAAUAAAUACACUUAAGAAACUAACAUGACACAUUGCAAGGUGAUUACAAAGUUGAAUAAAAGUCCUUCCCGCAAA
Haliotis rubra (blacklip abalone) is the source of this 336-nucleotide long non-coding RNA. RefSeq lists it as uncharacterized. The transcript is spliced from 3 exons. NCBI's taxonomy places the organism in Eukaryota, Metazoa, Mollusca, Gastropoda, Lepetellida, Haliotidae. The record is from RefSeq and is a predicted model, not a curated record.